GAUGAACGCUGGCGGCGUGCCUAAUACAUGCAAGUCGAGCGAACAGACGAGGAGCUUUCUCCUCUGACGGUAGCGGCGGACGGGUGAGUAACACGUGGAUAACCUACCUCUAAGACUUGGAUAACAUCGGGAGACCGGAUCUAAUACCGGAUAAUAUAUUGAACCGGUUGGUUCAAUCGUUAAAGACGCUUUUUGUGUCUGUUAUAGCUGAAUCCGUGGCGCAUUAUCUAGUUGGUAAGGUAACGGCUUACCAAGGCUACGAUGCGUAGCCGACCUGAGAGGGUGAACGGCCACACUGGAACUGAGACACGGUCCAGACUCCUACGGGAGGCAGCAGUAGGGAAUCUUCCGCAAUGGGCGAAAGCCUGACGGAGCAACGCCGCGUGAGUGAUGAAGGUCUUCGGAUCGUAAAACGCUGUUAUUAGGGAAGAACAAAAGUGUAAGUAACUAUGCUCGUCUUGACGGUACCUAAAGAAAAAGCCACGGCUAACUACGUG
Molecule: ribosomal RNA, 497 nt
Filed under: uncultured bacterium
Lineage: Bacteria
Description: partial 16S ribosomal RNA
Rfam family: Bacterial small subunit ribosomal RNA
Source: RNAcentral